CAGUCGCCGCGGGAAUACGUAGGGUGCGAGCGUUAAUCGGAAUUACUGGGCGUAAAGCGUGCGCAGGCGGUUGUGUAAGACAGGUGUGAAAUCCCCGGGCUUAACCUGGGAACUGCGCUUGUGACUGCACAGCUAGAGUAUGGCAGAGGGGGGUGGAAUUCCACGUGUAGCAGUGAAAUGCGUAGAGAUGUGGAGGAACACCGAUGGCGAAGGCAGCCCCCUGGGCCAAUACUGACGCUCAUGCACGAAAGCGUGGGGAGCAAACAGGAUUAGAUACCCGCGUAGUCCCUGUCUCUUAUAA
RNAcentral lists this ribosomal RNA (301 nucleotides) under uncultured bacterium. RNAcentral describes it as "partial 16S ribosomal RNA". It matches the Rfam family "Bacterial small subunit ribosomal RNA", at positions 509 to 809 of the family's 1533-position model. The record is from RNAcentral.